Long non-coding RNA from Lepisosteus oculatus (spotted gar), 363 nucleotides. RefSeq lists it as uncharacterized. NCBI's taxonomy places the organism in Eukaryota, Metazoa, Chordata, Actinopteri, Semionotiformes, Lepisosteidae. The record is from RefSeq and is a predicted model, not a curated record.
CGAGAGAAGAUCAAGAGAUUAGUUCUCUGUAACGCCGUUAACACCAGGAAAGAUAUAGAAUUUCAAAAAUGAAAUUACCAAACAAAAUAACAUAAAAAAAUCAACAGGGUAAACCUUCAGUGAAUAUCCUUUCGAAAACGGGAGGGGUGUUGCUCCAACGAUUAGGUGACGAAAUCAUCAUGAACACUGGAACUGAAACUUUCGCUUUCUCUCGCAUCCCUCUCCUUACAGAAUAGCCUGUUCCUCCGGUUUCAUCCAGCGAUUUCACGGGCAGCUGAGUGUGGUCCAGUGUGAAGCUGCAUGAAGAAGCCCCAGGACGGUUCUCCCUUCCAGGUGAUUGAAGACGCUUUCUCGCAGUGCCUG